UAUUUUGGAUGACUGUAAUUCAUACUUAUACAGUUAUUUUCUACUCCUAACUGCUUUCUAGUAUUAUAAUAUGUUGCAUUCCAUUUGGUAUGAAUUAUACACAUAUUUUGGGAUGUUACAUAUUCCAUAUUAUUUUUGAAAAAAAAAAGAAAAAAAAAAGAAAAAUAAAAAGAGAAAGAAACAAAAAACGAAAAAGAAAAGAAAAGAAAAAAGGCUCGAAGCCUGGGCAUCCAAAACUGUCACCCAAGCUCGACAUGAACCCCAAUUCACGCUUCGGUGAGCUCCCUACAACGCUUGAGCGUGAUUUCACGUGGAUCGGGCCCUGAUUCUGCUCUGAUUUGAUUCUUUCGGACCACUUUGCGACGCAUCUAACACUAUUUAAAGGACCCUGGGGCUCUAGGAUUUGCAUCCCUGGCAGAAGAGAACAAUGCAAUACACUCCUAGCC
This 446-nucleotide long non-coding RNA is filed under the name Vigna radiata. RNAcentral's name for it is "long non-coding RNA (VRAD_LNC001161)". The record is from RNAcentral. Lineage: Eukaryota; Viridiplantae; Streptophyta; Magnoliopsida; Fabales; Fabaceae.